Diachasma alloeum is the source of this 948-nucleotide long non-coding RNA. RefSeq lists it as uncharacterized. NCBI's taxonomy places the organism in Eukaryota, Metazoa, Arthropoda, Insecta, Hymenoptera, Braconidae. The record is from RefSeq and is a predicted model, not a curated record. The transcript has 4 exons.
UAGUUGUGCGCAUGACCUAACGCAAUGUCAUAGUGACACAUAUUUUCUCUGAGAUAAGUAUUUUCAAAGUGUAUAUUUGUUAAGUUUCCAAUGGACUUUUAUUGUUUUCAGCAUUAUUGAUUUUUCUGGGGUCAUGUUUUCGAGUGACAACAGGCUGUCAACGUAUACGAGAGGAGUAAAAUAGGAUUAUUAUUUGGACAUCAGAGUAACUGGCUACCUUAUGCGUAACUGUAAGAAUGCACUUGAGGCAUAGGAACAUUAGGACGAUCUACCCUAAAGAAAUGUAUAAGAGUGAGGUAUAUUAAUGGUAAAUAUUAGUGUCGCGAGGACGACUAUGAUUAAACAAUAUUUCUUAUUAAUUUGACAUGCCUGUAUUAUAUCUAUUUAUUUAAUUUGACUCUGCAGGGUCUGUUCUGAGGCUUAGAAUCAGCUCAGGAUGGGCCAGAAAUUGUUAUUCUGCCAAAUAUUAAUUUAUUUUUCGUGUUUGCGGGUUAACCCGUGGGAAUGCUCUUUGGAGAAGGACACCAAUGGUCUCUCGAGCUUUGGAAGGGAGUGCAGUAGUAAUCAGGCACUUCUGGGAGUUGGCAAGCAUGUCGAUGCUGUACCUGGACACUCUGGAUAGGCCAGGAUAAGGAAACAUUGGGAAUGUGGUAAUUCCGUAAAUUCCUGUUUCUGGAGUUUAUGGGCUCUGAUAUGAGCGAAUAAAUAUCAUGCGUCAUGGAGCUGGUGUUCAGCAAGUAUCAGGAUAGGAGUUGUUCAACUCUGAAGGAUCAAGGAUGCAUGCUGGAAUUUAAAGGCAACAGUUGGAGAGUGGUGAAUUGUUUUUAUAAAAAUUAUCUAUGUUAUUUAUUUUCGUGAAGUUUCUCGUCAUCAAUUAUAUUUUUAUCGAAAAAAAUGUAAUGAGACUGAGCUUCAUAGCGUAGAUUAAUAAAAUGUUAUUUGACUCUA